Molecule: ribosomal RNA, 460 nt
Filed under: uncultured bacterium
Lineage: Bacteria
Description: partial 16S ribosomal RNA
Rfam family: Bacterial small subunit ribosomal RNA
Source: RNAcentral
CCUACGGGAGGCAGCAGUGAGGAAUAUUGCUCAAUGGCCGUAAGGCUGAACCAGCCAAGUCGCGUGAAGGAAGACGGAUCUAUGGUUUGUAAACUUCUUUUAUAGGGGAAUAAAGGUAUCCACGUGUGGAUAUUUGCAUGUACCCUAUGAACAAGCAUCGGCUCACUCCGUGCCAGCAGCGGCGGUAGUAAGGAGGAUGCGAUGGUUAUCCGGAUUUAUUGGGUGUAAAGGGUGCGUAGGUUGUUUUUUAAGUCAGAGGUGAAAGUUUGUGGCUUAACCAUAAGAUUGCAGAUGAAACUGGAAGACUUGAGUGUAGUAGAGGAAGGCGGAAUUCGUGGUGUAGCGGUGAAAUGCGUAGAUAUCACGAAGAACUCCGAUGGCGAAGGCAGCUUACUAGGCCAUAACUGACACUGAGGCACGAAAGCGUGGGGAUCAAACAGGAUUAGAUACCCGAGUAGUC